GUUUACUGAAAUGUGACGGGAGAAGCAACCAGUUGCUAUCAUUACAUCGCCUGCAAUAAUUGUAAAAGCUCAAAGAGCUAUUCAAACGAGUGGAAAACUGUUAAAAUAUCAAUGGAAUCCAUUUAACUCUUCGAGAAUAUCUACUUAGUGAUAGACAGUGGAUACAUUUUUAGAUGAAAUUUAUAUUUUAUAUUUUACCCCCUAAAAAAUUCACAAGCAUUUCAGAAGGAGGACGAACACACUCAAUCUUGAAUUUCACCUGGUGGUUCAAUUUGAUAUGGUGCUCCGCAAGCUAUCAAGUGGCAGUGAGGGCAGCAGUCUAGUGGGCACUGUCAGAAAAAUAUCGUGUGAUUGUUAUUGGAGUAUUUGUAAUACGCCUCGGAGGCCACAUGCCAGGGAGCGACGAGUAAAUAUUCCUAAUGCGAGCUAUUUGUAGGUAAAGACUCGGAGAAUCGGGAAUGAGCGAGCCGUGCAUCGCCUGACAGCAAUGCAGUCGAAGCACACACACACAGCUAAAAGUAAUAUAAGUGCAUAGCUUUUAUGUGAAUGGACAUUCCCGUAGACUUUUAAGCUGUCAACGGAACAUUAGCCAUUCCACUGGCUUCGGUGGAUUCCAUGCCGCCUGCCCGCUGUUGCAUCAUUGAGCGGUUCCAUAAUUUACAUUUCAAUUUUAUAAAAUUGACUUUUCAAUGCAAUAAGUGACAGCUAAAAGCAGAAAUUUAGAUUUUCGGCUGCCACGUGGUAGCUAAGUAAAUACCCUGCAAAUGCUGAACUCACUGUAAAUUUCUUCCAGCAGAUGUUAGAUGCUUUUGGGGUUUGCAUAUUCGAAACACGGACUCACCCUUCUCAAGUCUGUGGGA
Molecule: unclassified non-coding RNA, 860 nt
Filed under: Drosophila mojavensis
Lineage: Eukaryota; Metazoa; Arthropoda; Insecta; Diptera; Drosophilidae
Description: GI26134
Source: RNAcentral